This 2302-nucleotide ribosomal RNA is filed under the name human gut metagenome. RNAcentral describes it as "bacterial LSU rRNA". It matches the Rfam family "Bacterial large subunit ribosomal RNA", at positions 1 to 2300 of the family's 2925-position model. The record is from RNAcentral.
UUAAGAUACUAAGAGCAUACGGUGGAUGCCUUGGCGAUAUCUGCCGACGAAGGACGUGACAAGCUGCGAAAAGCUGCGGAGAGAUGCAAAUAAUCGGCGACCCGCAGACAUCCGAAUGGAGAAAUCCGGCUGUGAUGAUGCACAGCCAUCCAUGCCCAAGAGCAUGAGAAGGGAACCGGGCGAACUGAAACAUCUAAGUAGCCCGAGGAAAAGAAAUCAAACGAGAUACCCCAAGUAGCGGCGAGCGAACAGGGAAGAAGCCCAAACCGGUGAAGGAAACUUUACCGGGGUUGAGGACCAUCAGACCCGCGAAGAACUUUAGCCGAAACUGUUGGGAAACAGUGCCAAAGACAGUGAAAGCCUGGUAGGCGAAAAAGAGAAACGCGGAGAUGGCACCAGAGUACCGCGGGACACGAGAAAUCCCGUGGGAAACAGGGGGGACCACCCUCCAAGGCAAAACACAGAUAUCGACCGAUAGCGCAUAGUACCAUGAGGGAAAGGUGAAAAGCACCCCGGGAGGGGAAUGAAAGAGAACCUGAAACCGUAUGUUUACAAGCAGUCGGAGACCGCUUAAUAAUAAGGUCGACGGCGUGCCUAUUGAAGAAUGAACCGGCGAGUUACGAAGCCUGGCAAGGUUAAGCAGGAAAUGCGGAGCCGAAGCGAAAGCGAGUCUUAAGAGGGCGCAAGUCAGGAAGCGUAGACCCGAAACCACAGUGAUCUACCCAUGUCCAGGUUGAAACACAGGUAAAAAUGUGUGGAGGACCGAACCUAUAUCCGUUGAAAAGGGUUAGGAUGAGGUGUGGGUAGGGGUGAAAUUCCAAUCGAACGUGGAGAUAGCUGGUUCUCCCCGAAAUAGCUUUAGGGCUAGCCUCAGGGAAAAGAUUGCAGGCGGUAGAGCACUGAUCAGGAGAGGGACCUACCCGGUUACCAAACCCAGUCAAACUCCGAAUGGCUGCAAUCAUACCUGGGAGUCAGACUGCGACUAAUAAGGGCCGUAGUCAAAAGGGAAACAGCCCAGACCAUCAGCUAAGGUCCCCAAUGCCGUGCUAAGUGGCGAAGGAUGUGGCAUUUCAUAAACAACCAGGAUGUUGGCUCAGAAGCAGCCACCAUUUAAAGAGUGCGUAAUAGCUCACUGGUCGAGAGACGCUGCGCCGAAAAUGUCCGGGGCUCAAGCACGGAACCGAAGCUAUGGCAUGAUAGCAAUAUCAUGGGUAGGGGAGCGUUCUUAUAAGGAAGAAGCAUGACCGGAAGGACAUGUGGACGAAUAAGAAGUGAGAAUGCCGGUAUGAGUAUCGAAAAGAAAGGUGAGAAUCCUUUCCACCGAAAGCCCGAGGGUUCCUGAGCAACGAUCGUCGACUCAGGGUAAGUCGGGACCUAAGCCGAGGCGGAAAGCGUAGGCGAUGGACAACAGGUUGAAAUUCCUGUACCGGAUCAAGUCGAUUGAGCGAAGGAGCGACGCAGGAGGGCACAUGAUCGCGCGGCUGGAAGAGCGCGUCCAAGUGCGUAUGUUGCCGCAGAGGAAAACCCCUGCGGCUAAAAGCAGAGACAUGAUGGGGAGUUAAAGGAAACUUUGACGAACUCAUGAAUCCCACACUGCCAAGAAAAACUUCUAGCGAGACAAGAUCCGCCCGUACCGUAAACCGACACAGGUAGGCGGGGAGAGAAUCCUAAGGUGCGCGGGAAAACCCUCGUUAAGGAACUCGGCAAAUUGCAUCCGUAACCUAGGGAGAAGGAUGGCCCCCGGUCAGUGAAGAGCAGAAACGCUCAGAGCUAAAAGGGGCGGCAGAAAAGAGGCCCAAGCAACUGUUUACCAAAAACACAGGUGCCUGCGAAAGCGAAAGCUGAAGUAUAGGUGCUGACGCCUGCCCGGUGCCGGAAGGUUAAGGAGAGAAGUUAGCGAAAGCGAAGCAUCGAACUGAAGCCCCGGUGAACGGCGGCCGUAACUAUAACGGUCCUAAGGUAGCGAAAUUCCUUGUCGGGUAAGUUCCGACCCGCAUGAAAGGCGUAAUGAUUUGGGCACUGUCUCAACGAGGGGCCCGGUGAAAUUGAAAUACCUGUGAAGAUGCAGGUUACCCGCGACUGGACAGAAAGACCCCAUGGAGCUUCACUGCAGCUUGAGAUUGAAUCCCGGUGACAGAUGCACAGGAUAGGUGGGAGGCGCCGAAGCAUUGCCUUAGGGCGGUGCGGAGCCGAUGUUGGGAUACCACCCUUCUGUUGCUGAGAUUCUAACGCGAGGAGUAACGACCCUGCGGACCCUCUCAGGCAGGCGGUUUGACUGGGGCGGUCGCCUCCGAAAGAGUAA